GGGGAGGUGACGGAGCGGUUGAACGUGUUCGUCUCGAAAACGAAUAGGGUCUGAAAGCCCUCGAGGGUUCGAAUCCCUCCCUCCCCGCCA
Molecule: transfer RNA, 90 nt
Filed under: Chloroflexota bacterium
Lineage: Bacteria; Bacillati; Chloroflexota
Also listed under: 2 other names
Description: tRNA-Ser
Rfam family: tRNA
About the family: Transfer RNA (tRNA) molecules are approximately 80 nucleotides in length.
Source: RNAcentral